UAACCCCAAAACCAAAACAACUACACCCAAUCGCCACCACUGAUAGCCAUCCCAAGUCGUUGCUGUAGAGAAAAAAGAAAUAGGGACCCCACUAACACAACCAUCGUCACAGACCCCAAGUCUUUUCUACCACAAACCGACCCACAACUAAUUCAUAAAAAUCAAUAGAGGAAUUCCCAGAAAGAUAUCAACAUAAUUCAACUAAUUGGGAAUUCCAUUUUGUGAACAAGAUUUUGAAAGGAAUUUUAUAGAAUUGAAAACAACAAUUAAUGACGCCUUUUCCAUUGUUCGAUCUGGCUCCACCACCACUGUUGCUAUCGCUCCUUGCGCUCCGUCGAACAAACAAUUGUGGGAAGAAAAAUGGCUUGCAAUUGAAAGCAGGAGGUCAACUGUUGCUGAUAGGUUGUCGGUAUUGGUAUCUGGGUUGCAACUUGUUGAAGCUACAUAUAUACACAAGUGAAUAUUGGAAAAAUGUCAUUAAAAUUCGACCUUCUCAUCACUGUAAUCUUGCUAAAUUACGUGGAUGAAAUCAAACCUAGCUUUCAUUUUCAUUAAUUGUAACCACUCACUCUCUUAUUCUCUUCAAAAGAAUCAACACCAUCCCCACCACCUCUGCCACCAUUCUUUUGGAGUUCAUAAGUUGUGGUGUCGAACUUUGAUGGAGAAAAAGAGAAUAAUGGAGAAAUAAGAGGUGAAUUGGAAUUAGAAGAGUAGCAACGAAAGUUGAGAGCAAGGGAAGGGGAGGAGGCGUCAAAUGGAGUGGAUAAUCUUUUCUUCUGGCCAAGAUUCAAUAACAUUCAAAGGUUCCAAAAUGGCUAAGCGAAACCGAGGUGUUCGGAUUUGAACUUGAAUUCGGGGGCUGGUGGUGUUGGCGUUGGGUGCAUAGUGGUUGCUGCCAAUGGUGCUGGUGGCAAUUGGGUGAGGAGGCUUUGAUUUUGGGAAAGAAGGAGAUGAGGGUGGG
This 961-nucleotide long non-coding RNA is filed under the name Olea europaea subsp. europaea. The record is from RNAcentral. Lineage: Eukaryota; Viridiplantae; Streptophyta; Magnoliopsida; Lamiales; Oleaceae.